UUAAGCGACUAAGCGUACACGGUGGAUGCCCUGGCAGUCAGAGGCGAUGAAGGACGUGCUAAUCUGCGAUAAGCGUCGGUAAGGUGAUAUGAACCGUUAUAACCGGCGAUUUCCGAAUGGGGAAACCCAGUGUGAUUCGUCACACUAUCAUUAACUGAAUCCAUAGGUUAAUGAGGCGAACCGGGGGAACUGAAACAUCUAAGUACCCCGAGGAAAAGAAAUCAACCGAGAUUCCCCCAGUAGCGGCGAGCGAACGGGGAGGAGCCCAGAGCCUGAAUCAGUGUGUGUGUUAGUGGAAGCGUCUGGAAAGGCGCGCGAUACAGGGUGACAGCCCCGUACACAAAAAUGCACAUAUUGUGAGCUCAAUGAGUAGGGCGGGACACGUGGUAUCCUGUCUGAAUAUGGGGGGACCAUCCUCCAAGGCUAAAUACUCCUGACUGACCGAUAGUGAACCAGUACCGUGAGGGAAAGGCGAAAAGAACCCCGGCGAGGGGAGUGAAAAAGAACCUGAAACCGUGUACGUACAAGCAGUGGGAGCACGCUUAGGCGUGUGACUGCGUACCUUUUGUAUAAUGGGUCAGCGACUUAUAUUCUGUAGCAAGGUUAACCGAAUAGGGGAGCCGAAGGGAAACCGAGUCUUAACUGGGCGUUAAGUUGCAGGGUAUAGACCCGAAACCCGGUGAUCUAGCCAUGGGCAGGUUGAAGGUUGGGUAACACUAACUGGAGGACCGAACCGACUAAUGUUGAAAAAUUAGCGGAUGACUUGUGGCUGGGGGUGAAAGGCCAAUCAAACCGGGAGAUAGCUGGUUCUCCCCGAAAGCUAUUUAGGUAGCGCCUCGUGAAUUCAUCUCCGGGGGUAGAGCACUGUUUCGGCAAGGGGGUCAUCCCGACUUACCAACCCGAUGCAAACUGCGAAUACCGGAGAAUGUUAUCACGGGAGACACACGGCGGGUGCUAACGUCCGUCGUGAAGAGGGAAACAACCCAGACCGCCAGCUAAGGUCCCAAAGUCAUGGUUAAGUGGGAAACGAUGUGGGAAGGCCCAGACAGCCAGGAUGUUGGCUUAGAAGCAGCCAUCAUUUAAAGAAAGCGUAAUAGCUCACUGGUCGAGUCGGCCUGCGCGGAAGAUGUAACGGGGCUAAACCAUGCACCGAAGCUGCGGCAGCGACGCUUAUGCGUUGUUGGGUAGGGGAGCGUUCUGUAAGCCUGUGAAGGUGUGCUGUGAGGCAUGCUGGAGGUAUCAGAAGUGCGAAUGCUGACAUAAGUAACGAUAAAGCGGGUGAAAAGCCCGCUCGCCGGAAGACCAAGGGUUCCUGUCCAACGUUAAUCGGGGCAGGGUGAGUCGACCCCUAAGGCGAGGCCGAAAGGCGUAGUCGAUGGGAAACAGGUUAAUAUUCCUGUACUUGGUGUUACUGCGAAGGGGGACGGAGAAGGCUAUGUUGGCCGGGCGACGGUUGUCCCGGUUUAAGCGUGUAGGCUGGUUUUCCAGGCAAAUCCGGAAAAUCAAGGCUGAGGCGUGAUGACGAGGCACUACGGUGCUGAAGCAACAAAUGCCCUGCUUCCAGGAAAAGCCUCUAAGCAUCAGGUAACAUCAAAUCGUACCCCAAACCGACACAGGUGGUCAGGUAGAGAAUACCAAGGCGCUUGAGAGAACUCGGGUGAAGGAACUAGGCAAAAUGGUGCCGUAACUUCGGGAGAAGGCACGCUGAUAUGUAGGUGAAGUCCCUCGCGGAUGGAGCUGAAAUCAGUCGAAGAUACCAGCUGGCUGCAACUGUUUAUUAAAAACACAGCACUGUGCAAACACGAAAGUGGACGUAUACGGUGUGACGCCUGCCCGGUGCCGGAAGGUUAAUUGAUGGGGUUAGCGGUAACGCGAAGCUCUUGAUCGAAGCCCCGGUAAACGGCGGCCGUAACUAUAACGGUCCUAAGGUAGCGAAAUUCCUUGUCGGGUAAGUUCCGACCUGCACGAAUGGCGUAAUGAUGGCCAGGCUGUCUCCACCCGAGACUCAGUGAAAUUGAACUCGCUGUGAAGAUGCAGUGUACCCGCGGCAAGACGGAAAGACCCCGUGAACCUUUACUAUAGCUUGACACUGAACAUUGAGCCUUGAUGUGUAGGAUAGGUGGGAGGCUUGGAAGUGUGGACGCCAGUCUGCAUGGAGCCGACCUUGAAAUACCACCCUUUAAUGUUUGAUGUUCUAACGUUGACCCGUAAUCCGGGUUGCGGACAGUGUCUGGUGGGUAGUUUGACUGGGGCGGUCUCCUCCUAAAGAGUAACGGAGGAGCACGAAGGUUGGCUAAUCCUGGUCGGACAUCAGGAGGUUAGUGCAAUGGCAUAAGCCAGCUUGACUGCGAGCGUGACGGCGCGAGCAGGUGCGAAAGCAGGUCAUAGUGAUCCGGUGGUUCUGAAUGGAAGGGCCAUCGCUCAACGGAUAAAAGGUACUCCGGGGAUAACAGGCUGAUACCGCCCAAGAGUUCAUAUCGACGGCGGUGUUUGGCACCUCGAUGUCGGCUCAUCACAUCCUGGGGCUGAAGUAGGUCCCAAGGGUAUGGCUGUUCGCCAUUUAAAGUGGUACGCGAGCUGGGUUUAGAACGUCGUGAGACAGUUCGGUCCCUAUCUGCCGUGGGCGCUGGAGAACUGAGGGGGGCUGCUCCUAGUACGAGAGGACCGGAGUGGACGCAUCACUGGUGUUCGGGUUGUCAUGCCAAUGGCACUGCCCGGUAGCUAAAUGCGGAAGAGAUAAGUGCUGAAAGCAUCUAAGCACGAAACUUGCCCCGAGAUGAGUUCUCCCUGACUCCUUGAGAGUCCUGAAGGAACGUUGAAGACGACGACGUUGAUAGGCCGGGUGUGUAAGCGCAGCGAUGCGUUGAGCUAACCGGUACUAAUGAACCGUGAGGCUUAACCUU
RNAcentral lists this ribosomal RNA (2903 nucleotides) under Escherichia coli. Its description in RNAcentral is "bacterial LSU rRNA". It matches the Rfam family "Bacterial large subunit ribosomal RNA". The record is from RNAcentral. Lineage: Bacteria; Pseudomonadati; Pseudomonadota; Gammaproteobacteria; Enterobacterales; Enterobacteriaceae.